Molecule: ribosomal RNA, 560 nt
Filed under: Frankia sp. HsIi10
Lineage: Bacteria; Bacillati; Actinomycetota; Actinomycetes; Frankiales; Frankiaceae
Description: partial 16S ribosomal RNA
Rfam family: Bacterial small subunit ribosomal RNA (bases 1-93)
Source: RNAcentral
UGUGGGGGGAGCCGUCGAAGGUGGGACCGGCGCAUUGGGACGAAGUCGUAACAAGGUAGCCGUACCGGAAGGUGCGGCUGGAUCACCUCCUUUCUAAGGAGCUUUCUGGCUGGUGUGCCUUCUGUAGUGGAGGGUGUCUGGUCCAGAGCGAAGACCAGCUGGAUGGUUGGUCUGGGUGCUCAUGGGUGUGGAACGCUGACUAUGUUUCUGUCUGGUCUGGUCUGUUGUCCGGGGUUCCUGUGUGUUCUCUGGGUGGUGGGUUGUCUGGGUGGAUCGGUACGCUGUUGGGUUGUGAGGGAGUGAGUUGCCCUCGUGUACGAUCCUGCCUUCUGCUGGCCCGUUAGGGGCUGGUGGGAGGCAGGUUUGCGGGCUGGUUCGUCGUGGGAUACCGCUGUCUUUUAUGGUGGUGGGUCCCGCAGGUGCGGCUGGUUUCCGUUCGUAGUUUGAGAACUGCACAGUGGACGCGAGCAUCUUUAUCUUUGUGGCCAAGUUAUUAAGGGCGCACGGUGGAUGUCUUGGCACCAGGAGCCGAUGAAGGACGUGGGAGGCUGCGAUAUGCC